RNAcentral lists this transfer RNA (62 nucleotides) under Ictidomys tridecemlineatus (thirteen-lined ground squirrel). RNAcentral's name for it is "Spermophilus tridecemlineatus (thirteen-lined ground squirrel) tRNA". It matches the Rfam family "tRNA". Rfam says of the family: Transfer RNA (tRNA) molecules are approximately 80 nucleotides in length. Their secondary structure includes four short double-helical elements and three loops (D, anti-codon, and T loops). The record is from Rfam by way of RNAcentral. Lineage: Eukaryota; Metazoa; Chordata; Mammalia; Rodentia; Sciuridae.
GGGGUUGUAGCUCAAUGGUAGAGCACUUGCCUAACAAGCAUGAGGUACUAGGUUCAAUCUCA